GACGGAGGGGGCUAGCGUUAUUCGGAAUUACUGGGCGUAAAGGGUGUGUAGGCCGUUUUUUAAGCAAGAUGUGAAAGCCUCAAGCUCAACUUGAGAACUGCAUCUUGAACUGAAAAACUAGAGUGCGAAAGGGGAAAGAGGAAUUCCUAGUGUAGGGGUGAAAUCCAUAGAUAUUAGGAAGAACACCAAAGGCGAAGGCAACUUUCUGGUUCGCAACUGACGCUGAGACACGAAAGCGUGGGGAGCAAAUAGG
Molecule: ribosomal RNA, 253 nt
Filed under: uncultured bacterium
Lineage: Bacteria
Description: partial 16S ribosomal RNA
Rfam family: Bacterial small subunit ribosomal RNA
Source: RNAcentral